RNAcentral lists this long non-coding RNA (319 nucleotides) under Pan troglodytes (chimpanzee). RNAcentral describes it as "long non-coding RNA NONPTRT013077". The record is from RNAcentral. Lineage: Eukaryota; Metazoa; Chordata; Mammalia; Primates; Hominidae.
GGGAGUUCCUAUCAAAGAUGGUACUAUAGAAAAGGAUUUCUGCAGGCUGCACAAGAAGCACGGCACCAGCAUCCACUUAUGAUGAGGAUAUCUGGCUGCUUUCACUUAUGGUAGAAGGGGAAGAGGAGCCAGCAUGUACACAAAUCCAUGGCAAGAGAGAAAGCAAGAGACAGAUAAAGUGAGAAAGACCAAGAGGAGGUGCCAGGCUCUUUUUAACAACCAGCUCUCACUCAUUACAGCAAGGACUGCACCAAGCCAUUCAUGUGGGAUCCACCCACGUGACCCAAACACCUCCCAUUAAGUUCCACCUCUAACACUG